RNAcentral lists this ribosomal RNA (2925 nucleotides) under Escherichia coli. RNAcentral's name for it is "bacterial LSU rRNA". It matches the Rfam family "Bacterial large subunit ribosomal RNA". Lineage: Bacteria; Pseudomonadati; Pseudomonadota; Gammaproteobacteria; Enterobacterales; Enterobacteriaceae. The record is from RNAcentral.
GGGUUGUGAGGUUAAGCGACUAAGCGUACACGGUGGAUGCCCUGGCAGUCAGAGGCGAUGAAGGACGUGCUAAUCUGCGAUAAGCGUCGGUAAGGUGAUAUGAACCGUUAUAACCGGCGAUUUCCGAAUGGGGAAACCCAGUGUGUUUCGACACACUAUCAUUAACUGAAUCCAUAGGUUAAUGAGGCGAACCGGGGGAACUGAAACAUCUAAGUACCCCGAGGAAAAGAAAUCAACCGAGAUUCCCCCAGUAGCGGCGAGCGAACGGGGAGCAGCCCAGAGCCUGAAUCAGUGUGUGUGUUAGUGGAAGCGUCUGGAAAGGCGCGCGAUACAGGGUGACAGCCCCGUACACAAAAAUGCACAUACUGUGAGCUCGAUGAGUAGGGCGGGACACGUGGUAUCCUGUCUGAAUAUGGGGGGACCAUCCUCCAAGGCUAAAUACUCCUGACUGACCGAUAGUGAACCAGUACCGUGAGGGAAAGGCGAAAAGAACCCCGGCGAGGGGAGUGAAAAAGAACCUGAAACCGUGUACGUACAAGCAGUGGGAGCCUCUUAAUGGGGUGACUGCGUACCUUUUGUAUAAUGGGUCAGCGACUUAUAUUCUGUAGCAAGGUUAACCGAAUAGGGGAGCCGAAGGGAAACCGAGUCUUAACUGGGCGUUAAGUUGCAGGGUAUAGACCCGAAACCCGGUGAUCUAGCCAUGGGCAGGUUGAAGGUUGGGUAACACUAACUGGAGGACCGAACCGACUAAUGUUGAAAAAUUAGCGGAUGACUUGUGGCUGGGGGUGAAAGGCCAAUCAAACCGGGAGAUAGCUGGUUCUCCCCGAAAGCUAUUUAGGUAGCGCCUCGUGAAUUCAUCUCCGGGGGUAGAGCACUGUUUCGGCAAGGGGGUCAUCCCGACUUACCAACCCGAUGCAAACUGCGAAUACCGGAGAAUGUUAUCACGGGAGACACACGGCGGGUGCUAACGUCCGUCGUGAAGAGGGAAACAACCCAGACCGCCAGCUAAGGUCCCAAAGUCAUGGUUAAGUGGGAAACGAUGUGGGAAGGCCCAGACAGCCAGGAUGUUGGCUUAGAAGCAGCCAUCAUUUAAAGAAAGCGUAAUAGCUCACUGGUCGAGUCGGCCUGCGCGGAAGAUGUAACGGGGCUAAACCAUGCACCGAAGCUGCGGCAGCGACACUAUGUGUUGUUGGGUAGGGGAGCGUUCUGUAAGCCUGUGAAGGUGUACUGUGAGGUAUGCUGGAGGUAUCAGAAGUGCGAAUGCUGACAUAAGUAACGAUAAAGCGGGUGAAAAGCCCGCUCGCCGGAAGACCAAGGGUUCCUGUCCAACGUUAAUCGGGGCAGGGUGAGUCGACCCCUAAGGCGAGGCCGAAAGGCGUAGUCGAUGGGAAACAGGUUAAUAUUCCUGUACUUGGUGUUACUGCGAAGGGGGGACGGAGAAGGCUAUGUUGGCCGGGCGACGGUUGUCCCGGUUUAAGCGUGUAGGCUGGUUUUCCAGGCAAAUCCGGAAAAUCAAGGCUGAGGCGUGAUGACGAGGCACUACGGUGCUGAAGCAACAAAUGCCCUGCUUCCAGGAAAAGCCUCUAAGCAUCAGGUAACAUCAAAUCGUACCCCAAACCGACACAGGUGGUCAGGUAGAGAAUACCAAGGCGCUUGAGAGAACUCGGGUGAAGGAACUAGGCAAAAUGGUGCCGUAACUUCGGGAGAAGGCACGCUGAUAUGUAGGUGAAGUCCCUUGCGGAUGGAGCUGAAAUCAGUCGAAGAUACCAGCUGGCUGCAACUGUUUAUUAAAAACACAGCACUGUGCAAACACGAAAGUGGACGUAUACGGUGUGACGCCUGCCCGGUGCCGGAAGGUUAAUUGAUGGGGUUAGCGGUAACGCGAAGCUCUUGAUCGAAGCCCCGGUAAACGGCGGCCGUAACUAUAACGGUCCUAAGGUAGCGAAAUUCCUUGUCGGGUAAGUUCCGACCUGCACGAAUGGCGUAAUGAUGGCCAGGCUGUCUCCACCCGAGACUCAGUGAAAUUGAACUCGCUGUGAAGAUGCAGUGUACCCGCGGCAAGACGGAAAGACCCCGUGAACCUUUACUAUAGCUUGACACUGAACAUUGAGCCUUGAUGUGUAGGAUAGGUGGGAGGCUUUGAAGUGUGGACGCCAGUCUGCAUGGAGCCGACCUUGAAAUACCACCCUUUAAUGUUUGAUGUUCUAACGUUGGCCCCUUACCGGGGUUGCGGACAGUGUCUGGUGGGUAGUUUGACUGGGGCGGUCUCCUCCUAAAGAGUAACGGAGGAGCACGAAGGUUGGCUAAUCCUGGUCGGACAUCAGGAGGUUAGUGCAAUGGCAUAAGCCAGCUUGACUGCGAGCGUGACGGCGCGAGCAGGUGCGAAAGCAGGUCAUAGUGAUCCGGUGGUUCUGAAUGGAAGGGCCAUCGCUCAACGGAUAAAAGGUACUCCGGGGAUAACAGGCUGAUACCGCCCAAGAGUUCAUAUCGACGGCGGUGUUUGGCACCUCGAUGUCGGCUCAUCACAUCCUGGGGCUGAAGUAGGUCCCAAGGGUAUGGCUGUUCGCCAUUUAAAGUGGUACGCGAGCUGGGUUUAGAACGUCGUGAGACAGUUCGGUCCCUAUCUGCCGUGGGCGCUGGAGAACUGAGGGGGGCUGCUCCUAGUACGAGAGGACCGGAGUGGACGCAUCACUGGUGUUCGGGUUGUCAUGCCAAUGGCACUGCCCGGUAGCUAAAUGCGGAAGAGAUAAGUGCUGAAAGCAUCUAAGCACGAAACUUGCCCCGAGAUGAGUUCUCCCUGACUCCUUGAGAGUCCUGAAGGAACGUUGAAGACGACGACGUUGAUAGGCCGGGUGUGUAAGCGCAGCGAUGCGUUGAGCUAACCGGUACUAAUGAACCGUGAGGCUUAACCUUACAACGCCGAAG